CUAUUCUAGUCUAAAUAUAGACUUUCAAAAUUCCCAUUCAGACACAUGUAACUGCUUACAAACACUGAAAAGAGUUAGAAGAGAUAUUCUAGACCUAAAGAAGACUUUAAGAAAAGACGAACCUUAGCAGUUGCAUAAGAAAUUGUCUGCUUUAAGAACUAUUUUAAAAGACAAAAGAAGUUCAGGAAUUCAUCAUUAAUAUCAUACAAAUGGCUUCCUCAAAAAUUGUCCUUAUGAUGGCCUGUGUUGUAGUUUUGGCUCUCUUCGAGAAUGGGGAAUGCCAAAGGCGGAAGUUAUGCAGAAUGUACAAAGCUAAAGGCACAUGUGGAGAAAUUAUGCGAAGAGACAGGGGGACAAAUGUUCCGGCAGCCGGGAGAUGUGCCCAGAAAGGUGGCACGUGUGAAUCUCUCCAGACACGUCGGGGAACAAGAUGUGUUUGUGCAAUCAUGUAUGAUGUCUAGAUGUAAGAAACCAAUAAUGAUGCGGUCAAUUCAAAACGGAAAUUGGAAGAACAGAUUGUCUCACAGAACACGAAAACAACAGAUCCUUUAAAACUGUGGCUGUGCGUCUUUUAAAAACAAAUAGCUGAUAUGUCAUUCAACAUGGUUAGUGAAUGUUCAGUCUUGAUUUGUUAUAACUUUUAUUGUUGGCAUAAAAUUGGCAUAAACUAACAUUACUUUAUCAAGAAGAAUCAUUCAAAUUUGUAUAAGAUGAGUUUGAAACGUCCGUUAGAUGUUUGAUAAGGUUUGAUGCUUUUGUAAAUAAUUUUGCAAGUUCUAGACCUCACUAGCUCAGUGUCGUAUAAUGUCUUAAUGCGUAUUUAUUUCAAUGCGUAUUUAUUUCCGUUCUGUUGUUUGUGUUGAUGUUUAUGUUCAUAUUUUUGUAAGUUCCAGUCAACGUUAUGCUCAAAGUCGUUUAAUGCGUAUUUAUUUCCAUUCUGCUGUUUGUGUUGAUGUUUAUGUCCAUAUUUUUGUAAGCUCCAGCCAAUGCUAUGCUCAAAGUCGUUUAAUGCGUAUUUAUUUCCGUUCUAUUGUUUGUGUUGAUGUUUAUGAUCAUAUUUUUGUAAGUUCCAGCCAACGAUAUGCUCAAAGUCGUUUAAUGUGUAUUUAUUUCCAUUCUGUUAUUUAUUGUUUUAUCUAUUAAAGGGAUUUUCCCAAAUGAGUUUGUAUAUUUUUACUCUGUUAGUGUUAUUGCCAACAUAUGAUGAAUAUUAGUUCCUGCUGUUAGUGACUAAUUGUAUUUCAAGUGUUUACGUGUAUUGAGAAGUGUCGUUUAUAUAAUGUCCAUGUUGGUUGAUACUUUAAUUGAUAUAUUACAGGGUAAUAUCUUGCUUAAACAUAUGUUAUUAAACAUCAUAAAUUUUGAAAUAAAAAUUAAAUGUA
Mercenaria mercenaria is the source of this 1382-nucleotide long non-coding RNA. RefSeq lists it as uncharacterized. NCBI's taxonomy places the organism in Eukaryota, Metazoa, Mollusca, Bivalvia, Venerida, Veneridae. The record is from RefSeq and is a predicted model, not a curated record. The transcript is spliced from 2 exons.